RNAcentral lists this transfer RNA (71 nucleotides) under Candidatus Azambacteria bacterium RIFCSPHIGHO2_01_FULL_44_55. Its description in RNAcentral is "tRNA-Ala". It matches the Rfam family "tRNA". From Rfam's summary of the family: Transfer RNA (tRNA) molecules are approximately 80 nucleotides in length. Their secondary structure includes four short double-helical elements and three loops (D, anti-codon, and T loops). The record is from RNAcentral. RNAcentral also lists the same sequence under 4 other names. Lineage: Bacteria; Candidatus Azamiibacteriota.
GGGCCUAUAGUUUAAUGGCAAAAUGACGCAUUUGCAAUGCGUAGACGGCAGUUCGAUUCUGCCUAGGUCCA